UGAGGAAUCUUGCGCAAGGGGGCAACCCUGACGCAGCAACGCCGCGUGAGUGAGGAAGGUCUUCGGGUCGUAAAGCUCUGUCAGGCGGGAAGAAAUGGAUGGAGGUGAACAGCCGCCAUGCUUGACGGUACCGCCAGAGGAAGCACCGGCUAACUCCGUGCCAGCAGCCGCGGUAAUACGGGGGGUGCAAGCGUUGUUCGGAAUCAUUGGGCGUAAAGAGCGUGUAGGCGGCUUGGUAAGUCAGAUGUGAAAGCCCUGGGCUCAACCCGGGAAGUGCAUUUGAAACUGCCAGGCUCGAGUAGGGGAGAGGGAAGUGGAAUUCCUGGUGUAGAGGUGAAAUUCGUAGAUAUCAGGAGGAACACCGGUGGCGAAGGCGACUUCCUGGCCCUAUACUGACGCUGAGACGCGAGAGCGUGGGUAGCAAACAG
This 428-nucleotide ribosomal RNA is filed under the name uncultured bacterium. RNAcentral's name for it is "bacterial SSU rRNA". It matches the Rfam family "Bacterial small subunit ribosomal RNA", at positions 355 to 775 of the family's 1533-position model. The record is from RNAcentral.